AUAGUAGAGAAGUAGGCGGUUUCGGACGCAGCCAUUGUGUAGCAGUGUGAAGUAUACCCUCGGUCGUUUAUUGGUUGAUGUCAGGUAAACGGUGAACCUAUCAGGACCGGAGUGUUAUGGUAGAAAAUGGGAGGGCAUUGGUUACCUGCGAUGCGUUGUCAUCCGUGCUGCCCCUUUACGGGAGUCCGCCAUUUAUGAAUGGAAGGAUGUUUGGUGUGCCGUCCCUGCUCCAUGCUGCUGCGCGUAUAAGCUGCACCCCAGUUUCAGUUUGUAGAUGAAUAGCUGCGCGCUAUGAUCAGCAACACGCAUAGUACUGCGCGGUGAACAUCUCCUGGUAUGUACGACAGAAGGCUGCUUGUUUGUUUUUAUGAUUUUAUUAGUAACUUUGCUAUUUCUGUUCGGCAGGUUGAUUUAAAUGCCCAAGGGUUUCAUCGCUGAAUUAUGCGACGGAAUGCAUGUCUAGUGAUGUAACGCACUGCUGCCUUGCCUGGGUUUCAAUUCUGUGUGUGUACGCGCGUGUGUGUAACUGCGGCCCGGAUUAUCGCUCGCCUUGGAGUGCACAUUAGAGUUGUGACGUUCGCGAACGAACCGAUUCUUUUGAACGGCUCAUAAACAUGAACGAUGGGAGCCGAGUCGCGGCUGGAGGGGAGCCGUUCUUUCUGUCGUUCUUUUUUCCUAUGCGUGUUUCACACAGAUGCACACAAAUGAGCUCCUCCGCGAGACAGAACAGUUAUAGGGGGAGGGGCGCACCCAGCGCAGGCCAACCCUU
This is a long non-coding RNA of Megalobrama amblycephala (Wuchang bream), 769 nucleotides long. RefSeq lists it as uncharacterized. Lineage: Eukaryota; Metazoa; Chordata; Actinopteri; Cypriniformes; Xenocyprididae. The record is from RefSeq and is a predicted model, not a curated record. The transcript has 2 exons.